RNAcentral lists this ribosomal RNA (410 nucleotides) under uncultured eukaryote. RNAcentral's name for it is "SSU rRNA". It matches the Rfam family "Eukaryotic small subunit ribosomal RNA", at positions 1335 to 1765 of the family's 1831-position model. The record is from RNAcentral.
ACGAGACCCCUGCCUGCUAAAUAGUUGGGCGAAUGAAUGUUCAUUGGCUACGGCUUCUUAGAGGGACGUGCGUUCUAUUAGACGCAGGAAGAUAGGGGCAAUAACAGGUCUGUGGUGCCCUUAGAUGUCCUGGGCCGCACGCGCGUUACACUGAUGCACUCAACGAGUAUACCUUGGCCGAGAGGCCUGGGAAAUCUUGUUAAUUUGCAUCGUGAUAGGGAUAGAUUAUUGCAAUUAUUAAUCUUGAACGAGGAAUUCCUAGUAAACGCAGAUCAUCAAUCUGCAUUGAUUACGUCCAUGCCCUUUGUACACACCGCCCGUCGCACCUACCGAUUGAAUGGUCCGGUGAAGCCUCGGGAUUGCGAUGAGUUUCCUUCAUUGGGAGUUUGUCGCGAGAACCUGUCUAAACC